Molecule: ribosomal RNA, 120 nt
Filed under: Thermothielavioides terrestris NRRL 8126
Lineage: Eukaryota; Fungi; Ascomycota; Sordariomycetes; Sordariales; Chaetomiaceae
Source: RNAcentral
ACAUACGACCAUAUCCGCAAGAGAAUUCGGGAUCCCGUCCGCUCUCCCCUAGACAAACUUGCGAGAGCCAGAUUAGUAGUUGGGUCGGUGACGACCAGCGAACCGCUGGUGUUGUAUGUU